GACGAACGCUGGCGGCGUGCUUAACACAUGCAAGUCGAACGGAAAGGCCCUUUUCGGAGGGUGCUCGAGUGGCGAACGGGUGAGUAACACGUGGGUGAUCUGCCCUGCACUUUGGGAUAAGCCUGGGAAACUGGGUCUAAUACCGGAUAUUCCUUGCUGGUUGCAUGGCUGGUGGGGGAAAGUUCUGUGGAGCGGUGUGGGAUGAGCCUGCGGCCUAUCAGCUUGUUGGUGGGGUGAUGGCCUACCAAGGCUGCGACGGGUAGCCGGCCUGAGAGGG
This 277-nucleotide ribosomal RNA is filed under the name uncultured bacterium. RNAcentral describes it as "partial 16S ribosomal RNA". It matches the Rfam family "Bacterial small subunit ribosomal RNA", at positions 28 to 300 of the family's 1533-position model. The record is from RNAcentral.